AGCGAACGCUGGCGGCAGGCCUAACACAUGCAAGUCGAACGAACCUUUCGGGGUUAGUGGCGGACGGGUGAGUAACACGUGGGAACGUGCCUUUAGGUUCGGAAUAACUCAGGGAAACUUGUGCUAAUACCGAAUGUGCCCUUCGGGGGAAAGAUUAAUCGCCUUUAGAGCGGCCCGCGUCUGCUUAGCUAGUUGGUUGAGGUAAUGGCUCACCAAGGCGACGAUCAGUAGCUGGUCUGAGAGGAUGAUCAGCCACAUUGGGACUGAGACACGGCCCAAACUCCUACGGGAGGCAGCAGUGGGGAAUCUUGCGCAAUGGGCGAAAGCCUGACGCAGCCAUGCCGCGUGAAUGAUGAAGGUCUUAGGAUUGUAAAAUUCUUUCACCGGGGACGAUAAUGACGGUACCCGGAGAAGAAGCCCCGGCUAACUUCGUG
This 434-nucleotide ribosomal RNA is filed under the name uncultured bacterium. RNAcentral describes it as "partial 16S ribosomal RNA". It matches the Rfam family "Bacterial small subunit ribosomal RNA", at positions 29 to 507 of the family's 1533-position model. The record is from RNAcentral.